CGCGAGUGUCUUCGUCAAGACGAAAUAUUUGCCAUUUGUUUCCGAGACGCUGACUGAAAGUGUUUUCCAAAUUCAUUACGAAAUUGCGGUGUCGAUCUACAUUUUCAGCCAUGAAAUGAAAUCUGGCAUAUAAUUUCCCUUGGCCAAAUAAUGUGACCACUUGAGUCGAAACUGCUGUGCCGAAAUGUCGGCCAUUGUUAGCUGUACCUAUUCGGCUGUACGUCUCAUCUCGUGCAAAAACACUUCAGAAGCUAGUAAAGUAAUUUUGUUGAUAAAUUUCCCUGCAAUAAUGCAAUAGGUUUUAUUAGUUUAUGUUUAGGUCAGAGACGGAGAUCCCUUUGCUCAACUGUUGCAGAAAUUGAGAACACAACAAAGUCUGAGCCUCAUGGCUGUCAUAUCAUUAACCUGGUUUUGUUGCAGCUAGCUGGUAAAGGUUUGAUGGGGGUCAAGUUGAGCAGCAGCUGCUGCAUGCAGUUUAUCAAGCUGGUGUUAUCCAAAGUGUCACCCCAAGAAGACUUCUUGAAUUGGAGUUCAUGGUCGGUUUGAUGUUUAUGGUGUUGCUGUGUGGUGUACAGUGGUUUUGCAGCCCCUUUCCAGUUGAGAGAUGCUCUGAAGUGGAGUUUGUGCAGACUUGCAGUUCAACAUAACACUUAAAUGUCUCGUUUGUCUAUGUUGGUCUCCAUGCUCUAUGCAUUGUUGAACAGUUGGAUGUCGGUAUUUUAUCGGUUGCAUUUUGUCGAUAUGUUGUCUCUUGGUACCGGCGUUGAGUUGAAUCGUUUGCUGCCGUUCCAUAGACUUGAUCCAUUGGUAAAACUGAGGAGAAGUUGCUGAAAUUCAAGACUCGUCAAUAAAAUUAUGUAGAUGUAGACAAAUUACAAGUGCAUAUCUGGGCUCCCUUCUUCAGUGGCCCCGUUUCCCUAA
Molecule: long non-coding RNA, 921 nt
Filed under: Daphnia pulicaria
Lineage: Eukaryota; Metazoa; Arthropoda; Branchiopoda; Diplostraca; Daphniidae
Description: uncharacterized LOC124349183, transcript variant X1
Source: RNAcentral